UCCCCUAGCCUUCGUCCAAGAAAAAACUGUGACAAACAAAAGCUCGUCCCUAGCAUUAAAAUGGAAGGGCUUAAAUCCAAGAAAUAAUUAUGGAUAAAGGUCCAAUAAGACAUUACUAUGGUUAUUAAAUGAAUGUCAUUAAACUACUUGCGACUAAGAUAAAAUGUAGUUGUCUAUCAGAAAUUUGUUCGUGCUAGUGUUCAACAAACAAAGAGAUGGGUGAGCAUUAGUUUGUCAGGAGUAAUUUCUGACUUAACUAUCAUCGUACCAAAGAGAUGAAUUAUAGCCCAAUCAAAGAACAAAUUCAUGUUGAUUUUAAAAUGGGACAAACAGUAUAUUUAAAAACAUUCCCAAUCUGGUUCUGUCCUUAUGCUUCAGAGCUUUAUAAUGCUCAUCACGAAAGAUAUUAUUACCUUAAGUCCUUUUACUGCCUUCACUCUGAUUAGCAUCUUCUUGUUUUUGCUUGUUAGAACCUAGCUGCCAACAAACUAACGAGACAACACAAAUAAGUUAAAAUUUAAUUCUAUAUAUCCAACAUAAUAUCAUUCAAGCAAGGUGCUUUUUUAGCAUCCAGUUCUUGAAACAUUUUACCAGCACCUCUCUCUCUCUCUCUGCGUGCGUGCGUGCGUGUGUGUGUGUGAACUAGGAUGGGAUAAAUCAAAACCAAAAUUGGGGUGAUGGAAGGAUUCAAACUCAGGUCCUUGGUACCAACCCAAAUUCUUAUCAACACUUUAUUCAUGUAGGCAUACUAUGGGCAGAGCUAGAACAUCAAUCAAAUUAGUGAAGCUUUCCAGCUUUAUUAUAGGCUGUAAGAUCUUGCUACUACCGUUUCCACUUGUGACUUCUAUACUAAAUC
RNAcentral lists this long non-coding RNA (856 nucleotides) under Elaeis guineensis (African oil palm). RNAcentral describes it as "long non-coding RNA (EGUI_LNC005199)". The record is from RNAcentral. Lineage: Eukaryota; Viridiplantae; Streptophyta; Magnoliopsida; Arecales; Arecaceae.